Molecule: ribosomal RNA, 292 nt
Filed under: uncultured bacterium
Lineage: Bacteria
Description: partial 16S ribosomal RNA
Rfam family: Bacterial small subunit ribosomal RNA
Source: RNAcentral
GUGCCAGCCGCCGCGGUAAUACAGAGGUCUCAAGCGUUGUUCGGAUUCAUUGGGCGUAAAGGGUGCGUAGGCGGCGCGGUAAGUCGGGUGUGAAAUCUCGGGGCUUAACUCCGAAACUGCAUUCGAUACUGCCGUGCUUGAGGACUGGAGAGGAGACUGGAAUUUACGGUGUAGCGGUGAAAUGCGUAGAUAUCAGGAGGAACACCUGCGGUGUAGACAGCUUUCUGGACCAUCACUGACGCUGAGGAGCGAAAGCGUGGGGAGCGAACAGGAUUAGAUACCCGUGUAGUCC